Acipenser ruthenus (sterlet) is the source of this 161-nucleotide long non-coding RNA. RefSeq lists it as uncharacterized. The transcript has 3 exons. The record is from RefSeq and is a predicted model, not a curated record. Lineage: Eukaryota; Metazoa; Chordata; Actinopteri; Acipenseriformes; Acipenseridae.
GCCGAAGGUCGUGCCUCGUGCACCUUCAGCUCAAGGGGUGUCCAAGCGCCAGCCAGCUUCGCCUGCCUUCUGGGAGGAGGUCACAGAUACGGAGCUGGUUGCCAUCUGCGACGUAGCCCCUCCCACUAACGACUGAGUUCCUUGAACGUGGUAAGGUAGGU